AAGUCGUAACAAGGUUUCCGUAGGUGAACCUGCGGAAGGAUCAUUAUCAAAAGUCGGUCGGGAGCCCUUGUGGCUGCCGUCUACACCCAAGUCUUUUGUGUACUCUUUGUUUCCUCGGCGGCGUAAGUCGCCGAAUGGACAAACCAAAACCUUUUUGUAAUUGCAAUCAGCGUCAUUAAAUAUAAUAAUAUUUACAACUUUCAACAACGGAUCUCUUGGUUCUG
This 224-nucleotide unclassified non-coding RNA is filed under the name Edenia gomezpompae. RNAcentral describes it as "partial internal transcribed spacer region". The stretch from base 1 to 46 matches the Rfam family "Eukaryotic small subunit ribosomal RNA", at positions 1786 to 1831 of the family's 1831-position model. Lineage: Eukaryota; Fungi; Ascomycota; Dothideomycetes; Pleosporales; Pleosporaceae. The record is from RNAcentral.